Molecule: ribosomal RNA, 433 nt
Filed under: uncultured bacterium
Lineage: Bacteria
Description: partial 16S ribosomal RNA
Rfam family: Bacterial small subunit ribosomal RNA
Source: RNAcentral
GGGGGGGGGGGGGGGGGGGCCGGGGGGGGGGGGGGGGAGGGAGGCCGUGGGGGCGAGUGGCGCCCGGGUGCGUCAGUCGUGGGGCCCUGCCCUUGGGGGCGGGAUAACUCCGCGGAAGGGGGGGUAAUACCGGCUAAUGUCUUCGGCCCAAAGAAUUAUCGCCUUUGGAUGGGCCCGCGUUGGAUUAGCUAGUUGGUAGUGUAAAGGCCGACCAAGGCGACGAUCCAUAGCUGGUCUGAGGGGAUGAUCAGGCACACUGGGACUGAGACACGGCCCAGACUCCUACGGGAGGCAGCAGUGGGGAAUAUUGGACAAUGGGCGAAAGCCUGAUCCAGCAAUGCCGCGUGAGUGAUGAAGGCCUUAGGGUUGUAAAGCUCUUUUACCCGGGAUGAUAAUGACAGUACCGGGAGAAUAAGCUCCGGCUAACUCCGUG